UACAGAGGGUGCAAGCGUUGUUCGGAAUCAUUGGGCGUAAAGGGCGCGUAGGUGGUUCUGUAUGUCUACCGUGAAAGCAUACGGCUCAACUGUAUUUUGUCGGUAGAAACUGCAGGACUUGAGGCUGGGAGGGGCUGGUGGAAUUCCCUGUGUAGCGGUGAAAUGCGUAGAGAUGGGGGAGAACACUCGUGGCGAAGGCGGCCAGCUAGACCAGUUCUGACACUGAGGCGCGACAGCGUGGGGAGCAAACAGG
RNAcentral lists this ribosomal RNA (253 nucleotides) under uncultured bacterium. RNAcentral describes it as "partial 16S ribosomal RNA". It matches the Rfam family "Bacterial small subunit ribosomal RNA", at positions 524 to 776 of the family's 1533-position model. The record is from RNAcentral.